Long non-coding RNA from Daphnia magna, 1031 nucleotides. RefSeq lists it as uncharacterized. The transcript has 2 exons. The record is from RefSeq and is a predicted model, not a curated record. NCBI's taxonomy places the organism in Eukaryota, Metazoa, Arthropoda, Branchiopoda, Diplostraca, Daphniidae.
UCCAGCAUACGGCUGGGAUUACACACCUGAUGACAGCCACCUUUCACACGCACAGCCUUUUGCGCGAGACGUAGAAACAGACGGCGGUCUGGCAUUCGUCCCAUCGUACGCAAGUUUACCGUAGGCCUUGUGUAUGCAUCAAUAUAUAUUUUAGAAACAGGUCUAAACAAGAGAAUGAAGUCGACCUCAUAAGGUUUGCGAAGCUCUUCGUGUUGGAGAACGAAAGGGAAAAAGUUUGGCUUUUUAUCGAAUGUCUCGUUGUUUUCACAGCUGGAUGUUAGACAAUACAAAGACAGUGGUGAAAAGAAGCCAACAGAAAUAAAACAAAAUAAAAGGAUGACACAAAAUAUUGGCAAGCGUGUUGGUAUGUUUUAUUUUGAUUAUUUUUUUUUAAAUUUCUGAUUGGCAAACCUCAACGAGUCCCCCGCGUUGUCGGAGUGCUAUUUGUUGUCAAGUCAUUAGCUCCGUCUGUGUAGACUGCACGAUGUCCGGGCAUACAGACAAACAAACGGGUUAGAGGCAGCACUGUAGUGUCGCACUGACUAUAUAGACUCCGCUUGUGUGCCGUAAAUGCGGGACGUGUAUAUACAGCCGGCGGGACAAGCGUGUCGGAUUUGAAAUGAGCUUAGAUUCCUGUAUGUCUUCGUUCAGAACGUGUUCGUGGAACAUGGCAGCUUAGGCGAAACGGCAAUCAAAUGAAAUCAGCAUCCGCAGUGAAUAAACGUUUGAGGUUAAAGGCUAAAAUGGUGGCGACAGCAACAGCAUUCGAGUUGCGAACAAUUUGCCGAACACACACACACACACAAAAAAGAAAUAUUUGCAUCACAGCUCUCAAAGUUGUGUAUGAAAAGAGACGAUGCCGAGAAUUCAAUCGAGGCUGUGUAAAGCGAUUGCUUUGGCUUCAAUGCAAGGAUAUUUCUUUAUCUUAUUACGAUUAUUUACUUUUCCCUUUUGAAAAUGUUCAUUUUUCCCUAUUUGAAUUUCCAUUCCCGUGAAGAUUGUGACAGUUGAAUAAACGAUUUAAUCAAGAA